This 550-nucleotide ribosomal RNA is filed under the name uncultured delta proteobacterium. RNAcentral's name for it is "bacterial SSU rRNA". It matches the Rfam family "Bacterial small subunit ribosomal RNA", at positions 8 to 590 of the family's 1533-position model. Lineage: Bacteria; Deltaproteobacteria. The record is from RNAcentral.
AGACUUUGAUCCUGGCUCAGAACGAACGCUGGCGGCAGGCUUAACACAUGCAAGUCGAACGUGAAGCUGGAGCUUGCUCCAGUGGAAAGUGGCAGACGGGUGAGUAACGCGUGGGAAUUUACCCAGUGGUUCGGAAUAACUUCAGGAAACCGGAGCUAAUACCGAAUACGCCCUUCGGGGGAAAGAUUUAUCGCCAUUGGAUGAGCCCGCGUCGGAUUAGCUUGUUGGUGAGGUAAAAGCUCACCAAGGCGACGAUCCGUAGCUGGUCUGAGAGGAUGAUCAGCCACACUGGGACUGAGACACGGCCCAGACUCCUACGGGAGGCAGCAGUGGGGAAUAUUGCGCAAUGGAGGAAACUCUGACGCAGCCAUGCCGCGUGAGUGAAGAAGGCCUUAUGGUUGUAAAACUCUUUCGCUAGGGAAGAUAAUGACGGUACCUANUAAAGAAGCCCCGGCCAACUCCGUGCCAGCAGCCCGCGGUAAUACCGAGGGGGCUAGCCGUUGUUCCGAAUUACUGGGCGUNAAGCGCCCGUAGCNGGCUGGUUANUUUG